RNAcentral lists this small RNA (1886 nucleotides) under Pan troglodytes (chimpanzee). Its description in RNAcentral is "processed transcript". The record is from RNAcentral. Lineage: Eukaryota; Metazoa; Chordata; Mammalia; Primates; Hominidae.
UUCCCCAAAUUGUCUCCUUCCCCAGCCCUUCCUCCCAAGGUUUUUGGUUUGUAUUUUUGCCCCAACUGUUUUUCCUUGCCCCCAGGAACCAGAGGCUAAUAAUGUCCUUUCCUUUAAAUGUUUUCAAGAGAAGUUCCAAGUUAGGCAAAAUAAAUGUAAGUCCUUUGGGCUCAUCCUUCAGGGAGCCACCAGACAGGUAAAAAUAAACAAUUUUUAUUGUUUGUUCUUUGACAAUAAGAAAUAGGCCCCCUUUGCUUCCUCAGUACUAGGAAACCAUACUGGGAAUAUGGGUUAUCUUCAAAGCUGUUGCUGAGCAGGAGACAGAGCCAGCACAAGUUAAAACACUACAAAGCCCUUUUACUGGGACUCAGGGAGUUUUUUGUUUCCUUUUUCCUCAUUAAGGGUUUGCCGGGUUACUAUAAACUUUUGAUUAGUUUUGAGAGUUCCAACAGUUGAUUCUGACAGAUUUUGCUGGUUAAUUUGCUGCUUUCGUGGAGGGACAAGCUUUUGUCAUUGUUUAUUAUACUAUUUUCACUGACAUACCCUCUAUUUUUUUAAAUGUGGGUUGCAGCCUACUAAUGAAUUAGUCUCUACGGUUUGAAAAAAUUGUCUGAUAUCCUUGUUGUUCUAAAAAAUAUAUGAACUAAGUAGUUAGGGGAAUUCCAUUCUAAGAGUAUGUUGAUUUAACUCUGUUCACUUUAACAAAGAAGUCUGAAAAUAUAACCGAAGUUUUGUUUCACCAGCCUUCAAAUGUCUUGGCAAAAUUGAGGACACUGCUUACCAUGUGUGUUAUUAGGAUAUCCAGGAGUUAGUGAUAUAGGAUCCCAAUUAUAGAUGUGUUCAUGUCCACAAAGUCCUCGUACUUAAGGGAUAUUUGUACUGUGCAAUUGCUUCUUAGAAUGAUGUUGCUGAUAGACUGUCUUGUCCUUUGCUUCAGCUUUGGGACAUCCGGAAGAAAGCAGCCAUCCAGACAUUUCAGAACACGUACCAGGUGUUAGCUGUGACCUUCAAUGACACAAGUGAUCAGAUUAUUUCUGGUGGAAUAGACAAUGAUAUCAAGGUCUGGGACCUGCGCCAGAACAAGCUAACCUACACCAUGAGAGGCCAUGCAGAUUCAGUGACUGGCCUGAGUUUAAGUUCUGAAGGCUCUUAUCUUUUGUCCAAUGCAAUGGACAAUACAGUUCGUGUCUGGGAUGUCCGGCCAUUUGCCCCCAAAGAGAGGUGUGUAAAGAUAUUUCAAGGAAAUGUGCACAACUUUGAAAAGAACCUUCUGAGAUGUUCUUGGUCACCUGAUGGAAGCAAAAUAGCAGCUGGCUCAGCCGACAGGUUUGUUUAUGUGUGGGAUACCACAAGCAGGAGAAUAUUGUAUAAGCUGCCCGGCCAUGCUGGCUCUAUCAAUGAAGUGGCUUUCCACCCUGAUGAGCCCAUCAUUAUCUCAGCAUCGAGUGACAAGAGACUGUAUAUGGGAGAGAUUCAGUGAAGAUAUGGACUGGAAGACUCCAAGGCCGCUUGUCUUUGAGACCUCAGACUGCAUAAGUGACGCCAAAUGUUGGAUGUCCAGGCUGGCACCCUCCCUUCAGAUGACCAUUGCUAGCAAGAAACAGGAGGCGGUGGCCAUAUUCCAAAAACCACUUCUGUCCCAUUUCACCAGGAUGACUAAGGCAAGCUCCCUGUGGCCUCUAAAAACCACCUGCCAGAUUUCAGGGACUGUUUUAUUUUUUUCUUUUUCUUUUUUCCUGUUUUCUAAUGCAGGCCCAAUGUGACAAAUUUGUUGGUUGGGAUUUUUUUUUUUUUUUUUUUUUUUGUAACUGGCUUGUGUGAUAUUUUCUUUCUGUAUUUCUCUAAAUCAUUUUGUAUUAAAAGCCAAAUAGAUGCCUUUUUACAAG